GCCGCGAUGGCACAAUCUGGCACUGCGCUAGCCUUGAGAGCUGGUUCCCGCAAGGGUUUCUCGGUUCAAAUUGCAGAACGCGAGCGUGCGUUCGCAUGCAAGUCCGAGUCGCGGCG
RNAcentral lists this transfer RNA (116 nucleotides) under Candidatus Woesearchaeota archaeon. RNAcentral describes it as "tRNA-Ser". Lineage: Archaea; Nanobdellati; Candidatus Woesearchaeota. The record is from RNAcentral.